This 1394-nucleotide ribosomal RNA is filed under the name uncultured bacterium. RNAcentral describes it as "bacterial SSU rRNA". It matches the Rfam family "Bacterial small subunit ribosomal RNA", at positions 22 to 1398 of the family's 1533-position model. The record is from RNAcentral.
GCUUAGGACGAACGUCCGGCGGGGUCGCUCACACAUGCAAGUUCGAAACGAACGAAGCUUCGCCUCGUCAGGGCGGUUACGCGGCGAACGGGUGAGUCAUCCGUCGAGUCGCCUCCUCUUCGACUCCGGGAUCAGCCCGGGAGAAACUCGGGUUUCAUACCGGAUCCGAACCAAUUCUCGCACGGGGGGUUCGGUCGGAAGCGUUCAGGAGUGGUUUUCAGAUGGGGCUCACGGCCUAUCAGCUUCGUUGGUGAGGUAAUGGCUUACCAAGGGCGAAGACCGGGUAGCCGGCCUGAGAGGGGUGACCGGCUACACUGGGACUGAGACACGGCCCAGAAUCCUACGGGAGGCAGCAGUGGGGAAUAUUGCACAAUGGGCGCAAGCCUGAUGCAGCGACGCCGCGUGAGGGGAAUGACGGCUCUUCGGGUUGUAAAACCUCUGUUAGCAUCGAAGAAACCAAAGUGACGGUAGGUGCAGAGAAAGCGCCGGCUAACUACGUGCCAGCAGCCGCGGUAAUACGUAGGGCGCGAGCCGUUUUUCGGAAUUAUUGGGCGUAAAGAGCUUGUAGGCGGUUGGUCGCGUCUGCUGUGAAAGGCUGGGGCUUAACCCUGGUUUUGCAGUGGGUACGGGCUAACUAGAGUGCAGUAGGGGAGACUGGAAUUCCUGGUGUAGCGGUGGAAUGCGCAGAUAUCAGGAGGAACACCGAUGGCGAAGGCAGGUCUCUGGGCUGUAACUGACGCUGAGAAGCGAAAGCAUGGGGAGCGAACAGGAUUAGAUACCCUGGUAGUCCAUGCCGUAAACGUUGGGCACUAGGUGUGGGGGACAUUCCACGUUUUCCGCGCCGUAGCUAACGCAUUAAGUGCCCCGCCUGGGGAGUACGGCCGCAAGGCUAAAACUCAAAGAAAUUGACGGGGGCCCGCACAAGCGGCGGAGCAUGCGGAUUAAUUCGAUGCAACGCGAAGAACCUUACCAAGGCUUGACAUAUACUGGACUGCGUCAGAGAUGGCGUUUCCCUUCGGGGCUGGUAUACAGGUGGUGCAUGGUUGUCGUCAGCUCGUGUCGUGAGAUGUUGGGUUAAGUCCCGCAACGAGCGCAACCCUCGUUCUAUGUUGCCAGCACGUGAUGGUGGGGACUCAUAGGAGACUGCCGGGGUCAACUCGGAGGAAGGUGGGGAUGACGUCAAAUCAUCAUGCCCCUUAUGUCUUGGGCUUCACGCAUGCUACAAUGGCCGGUACAGAGGGUUGCGAUACUGUGAGGUGGAGCUAAUCCCUAAAAGCCGGUCUCAGUUCGGAUUGGGGUCUGCAACUCGACCCCAUGAAGUCGGAGUCGCUAGUAAUCGCAGAUCAGCAACGCUGCGGUGAAUACGUUCCCGGGCCUUGUACACACCGCCCGUC